CGUCAUGAAAGUCGGUAACACCCGAAGCCAGUGGCCUAACCCUCGGGAGGGAGCUGUCGAAGGUGGGAUCGGCGAUUGGGACGAAGUCGUAACAAGGUAGCCGUACCGGAAGGUGCGGCUGGAUCACCUCCUUUCU
RNAcentral lists this ribosomal RNA (136 nucleotides) under Mycobacterium tuberculosis variant bovis. RNAcentral describes it as "partial 16S rRNA". It matches the Rfam family "Bacterial small subunit ribosomal RNA", at positions 1400 to 1533 of the family's 1533-position model. Lineage: Bacteria; Bacillati; Actinomycetota; Actinomycetes; Mycobacteriales; Mycobacteriaceae. RNAcentral also lists the same sequence under 6 other names. The record is from RNAcentral.